This 2930-nucleotide ribosomal RNA is filed under the name Escherichia coli. RNAcentral's name for it is "23S ribosomal RNA". It matches the Rfam family "Bacterial large subunit ribosomal RNA". Lineage: Bacteria; Pseudomonadati; Pseudomonadota; Gammaproteobacteria; Enterobacterales; Enterobacteriaceae. The record is from RNAcentral.
GGGUUGUGAGGUUAAGCGACUAAGCGUACACGGUGGAUGCCCUGGCAGUCAGAGGCGAUGAAGGACGUGCUAAUCUGCGAUAAGCGUCGGUAAGGUGAUAUGAACCGUUAUAACCGGCGAUUUCCGAAUGGGGAAACCCAGUGUGAUUCGUCACACUAUCAUUAACUGAAUCCAUAGGUUAAUGAGGCGAACCGGGGGAACUGAAACAUCUAAGUACCCCGAGGAAAAGAAAUCAACCGAGAUUCCCCCAGUAGCGGCGAGCGAACGGGGAGGAGCCCAGAGCCUGAAUCAGUGUGUGUGUUAGUGGAAGCGUCUGGAAAGGCGCGCGAUACAGGGUGACAGCCCCGUACACAAAAAUGCACAUAUUGUGAGCUCGAUGAGUAGGGCGGGACACGUGGUAUCCUGUCUGAAUAUGGGGGGACCAUCCUCCAAGGCUAAAUACUCCUGACUGACCGAUAGUGAACCAGUACCGUGAGGGAAAGGCGAAAAGAACCCCGGCGAGGGGAGUGAAAAAGAACCUGAAACCGUGUACGUACAAGCAGUGGGAGCACGCUUAGGCGUGUGACUGCGUACCUUUUGUAUAAUGGGUCAGCGACUUAUAUUCUGUAGCAAGGUUAACCGAAUAGGGGAGCCGAAGGGAAACCGAGUCUUAACUGGGCGUUAAGUUGCAGGGUAUAGACCCGAAACCCGGUGAUCUAGCCAUGGGCAGGUUGAAGGUUGGGUAACACUAACUGGAGGACCGAACCGACUAAUGUUGAAAAAUUAGCGGAUGACUUGUGGCUGGGGGUGAAAGGCCAAUCAAACCGGGAGAUAGCUGGUUCUCCCCGAAAGCUAUUUAGGUAGCGCCUCGUGAAUUCAUCUCCGGGGGUAGAGCACUGUUUCGGCAAGGGGGUCAUCCCGACUUACCAACCCGAUGCAAACUGCGAAUACCGGAGAAUGUUAUCACGGGAGACACACGGCGGGUGCUAACGUCCGUCGUGAAGAGGGAAACAACCCAGACCGCCAGCUAAGGUCCCAAAGUCAUGGUUAAGUGGGAAACGAUGUGGGAAGGCCCAGACAGCCAGGAUGUUGGCUUAGAAGCAGCCAUCAUUUAAAGAAAGCGUAAUAGCUCACUGGUCGAGUCGGCCUGCGCGGAAGAUGUAACGGGGCUAAACCAUGCACCGAAGCUGCGGCAGCGACGCUUAUGCGUUGUUGGGUAGGGGAGCGUUCUGUAAGCCUGUGAAGGUGUGCUGUGAGGCAUGCUGGAGGUAUCAGAAGUGCGAAUGCUGACAUAAGUAACGAUAAAGCGGGUGAAAAGCCCGCUCGCCGGAAGACCAAGGGUUCCUGUCCAACGUUAAUCGGGGCAGGGUGAGUCGACCCCUAAGGCGAGGCCGAAAGGCGUAGUCGAUGGGAAACAGGUUAAUAUUCCUGUACUUGGUGUUACUGCGAAGGGGGGACGGAGAAGGCUAUGUUGGCCGGGCGACGGUUGUCCCGGUUUAAGCGUGUAGGCUGGUUUUCCAGGCAAAUCCGGAAAAUCAAGGCUGAGGCGUGAUGACGAGGCACUACGGUGCUGAAGCAACAAAUGCCCUGCUUCCAGGAAAAGCCUCUAAGCAUCAGGUAACAUCAAAUCGUACCCCAAACCGACACAGGUGGUCAGGUAGAGAAUACCAAGGCGCUUGAGAGAACUCGGGUGAAGGAACUAGGCAAAAUGGUGCCGUAACUUCGGGAGAAGGCACGCUGAUAUGUAGGUGAAGUCCCUUGCGGAUGGAGCUGAAAUCAGUCGAAGAUACCAGCUGGCUGCAACUGUUUAUUAAAAACACAGCACUGUGCAAACACGAAAGUGGACGUAUACGGUGUGACGCCUGCCCGGUGCCGGAAGGUUAAUUGAUGGGGUCAGCGCAAGCGAAGCUCUUGAUCGAAGCCCCGGUAAACGGCGGCCGUAACUAUAACGGUCCUAAGGUAGCGAAAUUCCUUGUCGGGUAAGUUCCGACCUGCACGAAUGGCGUAAUGAUGGCCAGGCUGUCUCCACCCGAGACUCAGUGAAAUUGAACUCGCUGUGAAGAUGCAGUGUACCCGCGGCAAGACGGAAAGACCCCGUGAACCUUUACUAUAGCUUGACACUGAACAUUGAGCCUUGAUGUGUAGGAUAGGUGGGAGGCUUUGAAGUGUGGACGCCAGUCUGCAUGGAGCCGACCUUGAAAUACCACCCUUUAAUGUUUGAUGUUCUAACGUUGACCCGUAAUCCGGGUUGCGGACAGUGUCUGGUGGGUAGUUUGACUGGGGCGGUCUCCUCCUAAAGAGUAACGGAGGAGCACGAAGGUUGGCUAAUCCUGGUCGGACAUCAGGAGGUUAGUGCAAUGGCAUAAGCCAGCUUGACUGCGAGCGUGACGGCGCGAGCAGGUGCGAAAGCAGGUCAUAGUGAUCCGGUGGUUCUGAAUGGAAGGGCCAUCGCUCAACGGAUAAAAGGUACUCCGGGGAUAACAGGCUGAUACCGCCCAAGAGUUCAUAUCGACGGCGGUGUUUGGCACCUCGAUGUCGGCUCAUCACAUCCUGGGGCUGAAGUAGGUCCCAAGGGUAUGGCUGUUCGCCAUUUAAAGUGGUACGCGAGCUGGGUUUAGAACGUCGUGAGACAGUUCGGUCCCUAUCUGCCGUGGGCGCUGGAGAACUGAGGGGGGCUGCUCCUAGUACGAGAGGACCGGAGUGGACGCAUCACUGGUGUUCGGGUUGUCAUGCCAAUGGCACUGCCCGGUAGCUAAAUGCGGAAGAGAUAAGUGCUGAAAGCAUCUAAGCACGAAACUUGCCCCGAGAUGAGUUCUCCCUGACCCUUUAAGGGUCCUGAAGGAACGUUGAAGACGACGACGUUGAUAGGCCGGGUGUGUAAGCGCAGCGAUGCGUUGAGCUAACCGGUACUAAUGAACCGUGAGGCUUAACCUUACAACGCCGAAGCUGUU